This 140-nucleotide small nuclear RNA is filed under the name Anneissia japonica. RNAcentral's name for it is "U4 spliceosomal RNA". It matches the Rfam family "U4 spliceosomal RNA". Rfam says of the family: U4 small nuclear RNA (U4 snRNA) is a component of the major U2-dependent spliceosome. The record is from RNAcentral. Lineage: Eukaryota; Metazoa; Echinodermata; Crinoidea; Comatulida; Comatulidae.
AUCUUUGCGCAGAGGCGAUAUCAUAGCCAAUGAGGUUUAUCCGAGGCGUGAUUAUUGCUAGUUGAAAACUUAUCCCAAUACCCCGCACAAGCGGCGUGAAAUAUCGUUGCUUGAUGCAAUUUGUGACCGUUCUUCGGAAC